CAUACCAGUUAGUUGAACUGAUGAAGCUGCUCAGAUGAGUAGUGAAACGUCUUCAAUGAUUAUUCAGCAAGUUCAGUUGCUCUAGAAUUACUUAUCCUAGAAACAAUCUAGUGCAUUUCUCUAUAUACUCAUGAGCUAUUAUCUCUGUAGCUUUGAUGAUAACAGAAUAGGUACUCUAAAUCUGCUGAUACUGAAUCACUUCUCUGUCUCCUUCUAGGUGGAUAUCAUUGUAGUGUUGGGUGGCCUUGGUGGACGAUUUGACCAGAGAAUGGCAUCAGUUGAAACACUUUAUCAUUCUGUUACACCUUUACCAGUAAUAAUUAUUCAAGAUACCUCUCUAACCUAUCUUCUAAAGCCUCACACUAAGGAAAAUCUAAAGCCUACUUUGCAGUUGGGCAGAAGGUUUCUGAAAAAACCUGGAAUUAAUCCUUCCUUUGCUGUUCUUCUCUACACCGCAGCUCAUAAGCAAGAAGAAAGGGUCUAAAGAACCCAUUGAGGAAGAGGUCCUAUAAGAAAUGUUCUUACAUAAUUUACACACUUACACUUGUCAUUAAAGUGAUGGGUCAGAACAAGUUCACUCACUGCACUUCUGUAUUUCAGAAAAAAGUAAAAUAAUUGUGUUGUUAUUAUUAUUAUUAUUAUUAUUAUUAUUAUGUGUUAUGUUGUUAAGACAACUUGACUUUAGGGUUAAAAUGACACAGAUUUCAUUGCAGUGCUUUAAAUCACCUUUUGAAGGAGUGAAAUGAUUAUCAAACGAUUGAGCUAGCAAAACAUGUAGCUGCAGUAUUAUUAUAAACCAAAUAAAGCUUCUGUGUUGCAGAUAUUGGCAGCUAUAAUAUUCUCUUUCUUAAAACUGUAAAUAUUCUAUAACGCUGCUGAUAAAUGGUGCAUUCCUGUUGUGUUUUUCUGCAAACUUUUUACUGUCAUUUUAAAGUGCAAAAAUCAUGAUGUCUCUUCACCUUUGUCAUAUUUUCAAGUACAACAUUGAAUUCAUGUAAAUUUAAUGAAGUCAUGCAUAGAAAUGUAUUCUCGUUUCUGCACUUAACAUCACAUAUGGCAGCUCCAUGAACUUAAAAAUUCUGCCUUUUGUUGUAAAUAAAUAUCCAGCAUCCUUUU
Long non-coding RNA from Xenopus laevis (African clawed frog), 1116 nucleotides. RefSeq lists it as uncharacterized. The transcript has 2 exons. NCBI's taxonomy places the organism in Eukaryota, Metazoa, Chordata, Amphibia, Anura, Pipidae. The record is from RefSeq and is a predicted model, not a curated record.